GACAGAGGGUGCAAACGUUGUUCGGAAUUACUGGGCGUAAAGCGUGUGUAGGCGGUUCGAAAAGUCGGAUGUGAAAGCCCCGGGCUCAACCCGGGAAGUGCACUCGAUACUGUCGAACUUGAGUCUCGGAGAGGUUGGUAGAAUUCUCGGUGUAGAGGUGAAAUUCGUAGAUAUCGAGAGGAAUACCGGCGGCGAAGGCGGCCAACUGGACGAAGACUGACGCUGAGACACGAAAGCGUGGGGAGCAAACAGG
Molecule: ribosomal RNA, 253 nt
Filed under: uncultured bacterium
Lineage: Bacteria
Description: partial 16S ribosomal RNA
Rfam family: Bacterial small subunit ribosomal RNA
Source: RNAcentral